CAGCGUACUGAAGGCCUGUAUCCUAGGCUACACACUGGGGACUUGUUCCUCUGACCCUUGCCUAGGGGAAAGUCCCCGGACCUCGGGCAGAAAGUGCCGCGUGCCAGGGCGCGUAGACUUUCCCCGCCUCCCACUGUAAAGCCCGCCAAGAAGCACGUCCCGCUGAGCCGCGUGGUGCGGGGGCGUGGUCAGCUACUCUAGUUACGCAAGCAGUGCCUCUCGGCGCACCAACCACACGGGGCUCAUUCUCAGCGCGGC
This 258-nucleotide RNase MRP RNA is filed under the name Saimiri boliviensis boliviensis (Bolivian squirrel monkey). RNAcentral describes it as "RNase MRP (ENSSBOG00000004121.1)". It matches the Rfam family "RNase MRP". Rfam says of the family: RNase MRP is an enzymatically active ribonucleoprotein with two distinct roles in eukaryotes. In mitochondria it plays a direct role in the initiation of mitochondrial DNA replication. The record is from Rfam by way of RNAcentral. Lineage: Eukaryota; Metazoa; Chordata; Mammalia; Primates; Cebidae.